AGCAGCCGCGGUAAUUCCAGCUCCAAUAGCGUAUAUUAAAGUUGUUGCAGUUAAAAAAGCUCGUAGUUGAAUUUCGGGGUCGGUAGGUCGGUCAUGCCUCUGGUAUGCACUGGUCUCACUGAUUCCUCCUUCCUGAUGAGCCCGUAAUGCCAUUAAUUUUGGCGUUGCGAGGAAUCUGGACUGUUACUUUGAAAAAAUUAGAGUGUUUAAAACAAGCUGACGCUUGAAUACAUUAGCAUGGAAUAAUGGAAUAGGACGUUCGAUCCUAUUUUGUUGGUUUCUAGGAUUGACGUAAUGAUUAAUAGGGAUAGUUGGGGGCAUUAGUAUUCAAUUGUCAGAGGUGAAAUUCUUGGAUUUAUUGAAGACUAACUACUGCGAAAGCAUUUGCCAAGGAUGUUUUCAUUAAUCAAGAACGAAAGUUAGGGGAUCGAAGACGAUCAGAUACCGUCGUAGUCUUAACCAUAAACUAUGCCGACUAGGGAUCGGAUGUACGUUUAAUUUUUAAUGUAACUCAUUCUAA
This 520-nucleotide ribosomal RNA is filed under the name uncultured Glomus. RNAcentral's name for it is "SSU rRNA". It matches the Rfam family "Eukaryotic small subunit ribosomal RNA", at positions 569 to 1084 of the family's 1831-position model. Lineage: Eukaryota; Fungi; Glomeromycota; Glomeromycetes; Glomerales; Glomeraceae. The record is from RNAcentral.